AUACAUGCAAAAAUGCCCCGAGCACAGCGAGGGGUGCAUCUAUUAGACUAAAACCAAUACGGGCCUGUGGCUCGUGCAAAGGUGACUCUGAAUAGCUAAGCUGAUCGCAUGGUCUUGUACCGGCGACGUGUCAUUCAAGUGUCUGCCCUAUCAACUUUCGAUGGUAGUUUAUGUGACUACCAUGGUUGUAACGGGUAACGGAGAAUAAGGGUUCGACUCCGGAGAGGGAGCCUGAGAAACGGCUACCACAUCCAAGGAAGGCAGCAGGCGCGCAAAUUACCCACUCUCAGUUCGAGGAGGUAGUGACGAAAAAUAACAAGACCGUUCUCGUAGAGGCCGGUUAUUGGAAUGGGUGUAACUUAAAACCGUUAACGAUUAACAAUGAGAGGGCAAGUCUGGUGCCAGCAGCCGCGGUAAUUCCAGCUCUCAAAGUGUAUAUCGUCGUUGCUGCGGUUAAAAAGCUCGUAGUUGGAUCUUUGCUGAGCAUGCCGGUGCGCCGACUGGCGUUUACUGGUGUGCGACGCUUGUGAUGUCGGUUUUGCUCUGAUUGCCUUGAGUGGCUGUAAGGGCUGGCUGGCGAGUUUACCUUGAAAAAAUUAGAGUGCUUAAAGCGGGCGUACGCUUGAAUAUUCGCGCAUGGAAUAAUGGAAUAGGAUUUCGGUUCUAUUUUGUUGGUUUUCUGAGCCGAGAUAAUGGUUAAGAGGGACAGACGGGGGCAUUCGUACCGCUACGUGAGAGGUGAAAUUCUUGGACCGUAGCGAGACGUCCGACUGCGAAAGCAUUUGCCAAGAAUGUUUUCAUUAAUCAAGAACGAAAGUCAGAGGUUCGAAG
Molecule: ribosomal RNA, 831 nt
Filed under: Haycocknema perplexum
Lineage: Eukaryota; Metazoa; Nematoda; Enoplea; Muspiceida; Robertdollfusidae
Description: SSU rRNA
Rfam family: Eukaryotic small subunit ribosomal RNA
Source: RNAcentral